This 420-nucleotide ribosomal RNA is filed under the name uncultured bacterium. RNAcentral describes it as "bacterial SSU rRNA". It matches the Rfam family "Bacterial small subunit ribosomal RNA", at positions 28 to 430 of the family's 1533-position model. The record is from RNAcentral.
GACGAACGCUGGCGGCGUGCUUAACACAUGCAAGUCGAACGGAGCACCCUUGAUUGAGGUUUCGGCCAAAUGAUAGGAAUGCUUAGUGGCGGACUGGUGAGUAACGCGUGAGGAACCUGCCUUUCAGAGGGGGACAACAGUUGGAAACGACUGCUAAUACCGCAUGACGCAUUUUGAUCGCAUGGUCGAAAUGCCAAAGNUUUAUCGCUGAAAGAUGGCCUCGCGUCUGAUUAGCUAGUUGGUGAGGUAACGGCCCACCAAGGCGACGAUCAGUAGCCGGACUGAGAGGUUGACCGGCCACAUUGGGACUGAGAUACGGCCCAGACUCCUACGGGAGGCAGCAGUGGGGAAUAUUGGGCAAUGGGCGCAAGCCUGACCCAGCAACGCCGCGUGAAGGAAGAAGGCUUUCGGGUUGUAAAC